This 339-nucleotide long non-coding RNA is filed under the name Podarcis muralis (Common wall lizard). Its description in RNAcentral is "lncRNA (ENSPMRG00000004599.1)". The record is from RNAcentral. Lineage: Eukaryota; Metazoa; Chordata; Lepidosauria; Squamata; Lacertidae.
GGAGGAGGCAGUGUCUAACCCCUUCCCUUUCUCUCUCCAGUUUUAUGAGACCCCACUUCAGUCCCUCUGUGGUGAGUGCGAUCCUCCAUAGAACAACAGAGGCAGUUCUGGGGAGCGCAGAGGAGGACAAAGAGGAACUGAAGAGGCCAUUCCAGAGCCAGCUGGGGGGUCUCCUCCUAGAAGCCCCCAAUACUAGCACCCUUCUCCAGUUGCUUACCGACCUCCGAUAUUACGCCCUUUUGGGGAGUGAAGACCAAAGGAAAUUAGCGGCCAGCAGUAUAUCCCUGCUGCUGGCCCUUUCACGAAGAUUCCCGAACCUCAGAAACACAGUAAUUCGGC